AUGACGAAUCCACUAUUCAACACACAGCCCAACUCGACAGGCACGAGCCAUGUCGACAGUCGGGGCGGCACUCGGGGGCAUGCUCGCCUCGACAGUCAUCAAGGUGGCGAGAUCAAUUCUGUCAUUUCAGGCAAGAUCAAGCUGCACAGGAAACUGAGGAACGAUCUGGAGAACAUGAAGAUGAUGCUAGAGUCGGUGGAGGCUGUGCUCGGCGACGCUGAGAGGGAGUCUAUCAAGCAUAAGUCCAUGUUUCUGUGGCUAAAUCGGCUUAAGGAUGCGCAAACGACAUAUCUGACAUGCUUGAAGAUUUUGAAGAUGAAACCAACCUCAACCUGUGAAGUAGAUCUGAACCUCACUGUUGAAGUUGAUCUUUGA
This 375-nucleotide ribosomal RNA is filed under the name Triticum aestivum (bread wheat). Its description in RNAcentral is "partial small subunit ribosomal RNA". The record is from RNAcentral. Lineage: Eukaryota; Viridiplantae; Streptophyta; Magnoliopsida; Poales; Poaceae.